UCGUGCUAGACGGGGAGCUAGCGGUGCCCUGUACCCGCAAGCCGCUAUAGCGGGGUCGAAUUCCCUCUCGAGGUGCAGCAUGUCAGGACUGCUGCGGCCAA
RNAcentral lists this signal recognition particle RNA (101 nucleotides) under Chloroflexota bacterium. RNAcentral describes it as "Chloroflexi bacterium (oil production facility metagenome) partial signal recognition particle sRNA large type". It matches the Rfam family "Bacterial large signal recognition particle RNA", at positions 1 to 101 of the family's 256-position model. From Rfam's summary of the family: The signal recognition particle (SRP) is a universally conserved ribonucleoprotein involved in the co-translational targeting of proteins to membranes. Archaeal SRP consists of a 7S RNA and homologues of the eukaryotic SRP19 and SRP54 proteins. In most bacteria, the SRP consists of a 4.5S RNA and the Ffh protein (a homologue of the eukaryotic SRP54 protein). The record is from RNAcentral. Lineage: Bacteria; Bacillati; Chloroflexota.